This 511-nucleotide ribosomal RNA is filed under the name bacterium A3T_VP8_C1. Its description in RNAcentral is "bacterial SSU rRNA". It matches the Rfam family "Bacterial small subunit ribosomal RNA", at positions 337 to 839 of the family's 1533-position model. The record is from RNAcentral.
UCCUAAGGGAGGCAGCAGUAGGGAAUCUUCCGCAAUGGACGAAAGUCUGACGGAGCAACGCCCCGUGAACGAUGAAGGCCUUCGGGUCGUAAAGUUCUGUUGUUAGGGAAGAACAAGUACCAGAGUAACUGCUGGUACCUUGACGGUACCUAACCAAAAAGCCACGGCUAACUACGUGCCAGCAGCCGCGGUAAUACCUAGGUGGCAAGCGUUGUCCGGAAUUAUUGGGCGUAAAGCGCGCGCAGGUGGUUUCUUAAGUCUGAUGUGAAAGCCCACGGCUCAACCGUGGAGGGUCAUUGGAAACUGGGGAACUUGAAUGCAAAAGAAGAAAGUGGAAUUCCAAGUGGAGCGGUGAAAUGCGUAAAGAUUUGGAGGAACCCCAGUGGCGAAGGCGACUUUCUGGCCUGUAACUGACACUGAGGCCCCAAAACGUGGGGAACGAACAGGAAUAAAAACCCUGGGUACCCACCCCGAAAACGAAAAAUGCUAAAAGGUAAAAGGGUUUCCCCCC